This 253-nucleotide ribosomal RNA is filed under the name uncultured bacterium. RNAcentral's name for it is "partial 16S ribosomal RNA". It matches the Rfam family "Bacterial small subunit ribosomal RNA", at positions 524 to 776 of the family's 1533-position model. The record is from RNAcentral.
UACGGAGGGUGCAAGCGUUGUCCGGAUUUAUUGGGUUUAAAGGGUGCGUAGGUGGCCUGUUAAGUCAGGGGUGAAAGACGGUAGCUCAACUAUCGCAGUGCCCUUGAUACUGAUGGGCUUGAAUGAACUAGAGGUAGGCGGAAUGUGACAAGUAGCGGUGAAAUGCAUAGAUAUGUCACAGAACACCAAUUGCGAAGGCAGCUUACUAUGGUUUUAUUGACACUGAGGCACGAAAGCGUGGGGAUCAAACAGG